GCUGCGCCUCGUACAGGUUGCGCGGGCGUACGGCGUCCGUGGUGCCGUAGAGCUCCAGGCGGGAGUGCAGGUCUCCGGUGAAGUC
This 85-nucleotide transfer RNA is filed under the name Streptomyces sp. RB17. Its description in RNAcentral is "tRNA-Thr". The record is from RNAcentral. Lineage: Bacteria; Bacillati; Actinomycetota; Actinomycetes; Kitasatosporales; Streptomycetaceae.